This 1806-nucleotide long non-coding RNA is filed under the name Homo sapiens (human). Its description in RNAcentral is "non-protein coding lnc-MUC20-67:12". Lineage: Eukaryota; Metazoa; Chordata; Mammalia; Primates; Hominidae. The record is from RNAcentral.
UCCCUGUGUUGCCCAGGGUGGUCUUGAACUCCUGACCUCAAGUGAUCCUCCUGUCUCAGCCUCCCAAAGUGGUUACAUGCAUCUAUCCAUGUGUUAAAAUCGGUAGAACUGAGGCCGGGUGCAGUGGCUCACACCUAUAAUCCCACCACUUUGGGAGGCCAAGGCAGGCCGAUUGCUUGAGCUCAGGAGUUCGAGACCAGCUUGGGCAAGGUGGUGAAACCCCGUCUCUACCAGAAAUACAAAAAUUAGCUGGGCAUGGUGGCUCACACUUGGGUAGUCCCAGCUACUUGGGAGGCUGAGGUGGGAGGAUUGUUGGAGCCUAGAAGGCGGAGGUUGCUGUGAGCCGAGAUCACACCACUGCACUCCAGCCUGGGCAACAGAGGGAGGAGACACUGUCUCAAAAAAAAAAAAGAAAAAAGAAACUGUAGAACUGUCCACCGAAAGAAAAAAGUCAAUUUUAAUGGAUGAUCAAUUUUUAAAGCGUUAUAAACAAAAGGAAAAGAGACACCAGCAAGCCUAGAAGCAUUUGAGCAGAACCUCCUAUCUCCUGCAUGUGUUACCUAUUGAAGAAAAAAUACAUAUAAUUUUAUAAAAAAAAAAAACCUUUAAAACUUUUUUCAAGACAUCUUGGAAACACAAGAGUUGCAAAUCUUGGCCGUGCGCAGCAGCUCACACAUGUGAUCCCAGCACUUUGGGAGGCUGAGGCAGGUGGCUCACCUGAGGUCAGGAGUUCGAGACCAGCCUGGCCAACAUGGUGAAACCCCAUCUCUACUGAAAAUACAAAAAUUAGCCAGGUAUGGUUGCAAACUCCUGUAGUCCCAUCUACUCCAGAGUCUGAGGCAGGAGGAUUGCUUGAACCAGGAGGUGGAGGUUGCAGUGAGCCGAGAUGGUGCCACUGCACUCCAGCCUGGGCUACAGAGCAAAAUUCCAUCUCAAAAAAAAAAAAAAAAAAUUGCAAAUCUUGAAGUAUAGGUGAGAGCACACAACAGUCCAAAUCAGCAGGUGACUUGCAAGCACACAGCAGCCACCUUCCUCCCCCUAAUGUGAAGGACAGUGGGGCGGCCGGCCCCUUGGGACCACCAUCUGGAAGGUGUCAUUUUUUCCCGUUAGUGGAGUGACAUUUAUAUACACUUAAUGUAUAUAAAUCUGUAUACAUUUAAUUUUUUUUUUUUGUAAGACAGGGUCUCGCUCUGUUGCCCAGGCUGGAGUGCAGUGGCGCGAUCUCGGCUCACUGCAACCUCCACCUUUCGGGUUAAAGCAGUUCUCAUGCCAGAUAAUUUUUGUGUUUUUAGUAGAAAUGAGGUUUUGCCACGUUGGCCAGGCUGCUCUUGAACUCCUGACCUCAAGUGCUUCACCUACCUCAGCCUCCUAAAGUGCUGGGAUUACAGGCGUGAGCCACUGCACCUGGCCUACAUUUUAAUUUUUUAAUUUUAGAGAUGAUUUCUAGUUUAUUCACUCUAAGAUCACUUAAUGGAUAUCUACUGUGUGCCAACAGUUUUGCCUUUUAUGUCUGUUCUUUAAAAUUGGCCCCAACUCAACAGAUGGCCUCAGAUGUAGGGUGGGUUGGCAGUGUGUUAGCUCAGGAGACUUACACCGUUUCCAGGCUCCUUGAGCGGCUAUGCUACAUUUUUGUGUGUAGUACUAAAUCCAUUUGUUUUUUUAAAACGGUUUUCAAAAGUUAAAUUCUAGCUCUUUUUGUUGUUGGAAGAAUCUGUCACGAAUCUUGACAAAUUGAGAUUUGCUGAUGGAAGAAGCAUAAGAACAUCGGAACUGCGACUCAGCAUGCAGAAGGUAAGAGCCUGGACU